Molecule: ribosomal RNA, 426 nt
Filed under: uncultured bacterium
Lineage: Bacteria
Description: bacterial SSU rRNA
Rfam family: Bacterial small subunit ribosomal RNA
Source: RNAcentral
GUGAGGAAUUUUCCGCAAUGGGCGAAAGCCUGACGGAGCAAUGCCGCGUGAAGGAUGAAGGCCUAUGGGUUGUAAACUUCUUUUCUCAGAAAAGAAUUAUGACGGUAUCUGAGGAAUAAGCAUCGGCUAACUCUGAGCCAGCAGCCGCGGUAAGACAGAGGAUGCAAGCGUUAUCCGGAAUGAUUGGGCGUAAAGCGUCUGUAGGUUGUUUAAAAAGUAUUCUGUCAAAGAUUAGGGCUUAACCCUAGAUAGGCAGAAUAAACUUUUAAGCUAGAGUUUGGUAGAGGCAGAGGGAAUUCCCGGUGGAGCGGUGAAAUACGUAGAUAUCGGGAGGAACACCAAAGGCGAAGGCACUCUGCUGGGCCAAUACUAACACUGAGAGACGAAAGCGAGGGGAGCAAAUGGGAUUAGAAACCCUAGUAGUCC